Molecule: ribosomal RNA, 909 nt
Filed under: uncultured bacterium
Lineage: Bacteria
Description: bacterial SSU rRNA
Rfam family: Bacterial small subunit ribosomal RNA
Source: RNAcentral
ACGCUGGCGGCAUGCUUUACACAUGCAAGUCGGACGGCAGCACAGAGAAGCUUGCUUCUUGGGUGGCGAGUGGCGAACGGGUGAGUAACAUAUCGGAACGUACCGAGUAAUGGGGGAUAACUAAUCGAAAGAUUAGCUAAUACCGCAUAUUCUCUGAGGAGGAAAGCAGGGGACCUUCGGGCCUUGCGUUAUUCGAGCGGCCGAUAUCUGAUUAGCUAGUUGGUGGGGUAAAGGCCUACCAAGGCGACGAUCAGUAGCGGGUCUGAGAGGAUGAUCCGCCACACUGGGACUGAGACACGGCCCAGACUCCUACGGGAGGCAGCAGUGGGGAAUUUUGGACAAUGGGCGCAAGCCUGAUCCAGCCAUGCCGCGUGUCUGAAGAAGGCCUUCGGGUUGUAAAGGACUUUUGUCAGGGAAGAAAAGGCUGUUGCUAAUACCGACAGUUGAUGACGGUACCUGAAGAAUAAGCACCGGCUAACUACGUGCCAGCAGCCGCGGUAAUACGUAGGGUGCGAGCGUUAAUCGGAAUUACUGGGCGUAAAGCGAGCGCAGACGGUUACUUAAGCAGGAUGUGAAAUCCCCGGGCUCAACCUGGGAACUGCGUUCUGAACUGGGUGACUAGAGUGUGUCAGAGGGAGGUAGAAUUCCACGUGUAGCAGUGAAAUGCGUAGAGAUGUGGAGGAAUACCGAUGGCGAAGGCAGCCUCCUGGGAUAACACUGACGUUCAUGCUCGAAAGCGUGGGUAGCAAACAGGAUUAGAUACCCUGGUAGUCCACGCCCUAAACGAUGUCAAUUAGCUGUUGGGCAACUUGAUUGCUUAGUAGCGUAGCUAACGCGUGAAAUUGACCGCCUGGGGGAGUACGGUCGCAAGAUUAAAACUCAAAGGAAUUGACGGGGACCCGCACAAGC